UGAAUACGAGACGCUAAGGCGUCGAAGUAGUGUAUGUCAUACUUCCAAGAAAAGCUUGCACUGUCAUAAGUAAAAAAUGCCUGUACCAUAACCGACACAGGUGGGUAGGUAGAGUAUACUAAGGGGCGCGAGAUAACUCUCUCUAAGGAACUCGGCAAAAUAACUCCGUAACUUCGGGAGAAGGAGUACCUUAUUCUAUAAGGUUGCAAUAACAAGAUCCAAGCAACUGUUUAUCAAAAACACAGGUCUCCGCUAAGUCGUAAGACGAUGUAUGGGGGCUGACGCCUGCCCAGUGCCAGAAGGUUAAAGAAGUCGGUUAGCAUUAGCGAAGCUGGUAACUGAAGCCCUGGUGAACGGCGGCCGUAACUAUAACGGUCCUAAGGUAGCGAAAUUCCUUGUCGGGUAAGUUCCGACCCGCACGAAAGGCGUAAUGAUUUGGAUACUGUCUCGGAGAGGGGCUCGGUGAAAUAGACUUGUCUGUGAAGAUGCGGACUACCUGCACCAGGACAGAAAGACCCUAUGAAGCUUUACUGUAACUUGAAAUUGAAAUUGGACUUUAUUCGCGCAGUAUAGGUGGGAGGUGUUGAUUAUAAUCUUGCGGGAUUAUUGGAGCCAUCAGUGAGAUACCACUCUUGUAAUGUUAGAUUUCUAACUUUGAAUCAUUAUCUGGUCAAAGGACAGUUUCAGGCGGGCAGUUUGACUGGGGCGGUCGCCUCCCAAACGGUAACGGAGGCGUACAAAGGUUUCCUCUGAACGGGUAGAAAUCGUAUCUAGAGUGUAAAGGCAUAAGGAAGCUUGACUGUGAGACCUACAAGUCGAACAGGGACGAAAGUCGGUCUUAGUGAUCUGACGGUACUGAGUGGAAAGGCCGUCACUCAACGGAUAAAAGUUACUCUAAGGAUAACAGGCUGAUCUCCCCCAAGAGUUCACAUCGACGGGGAGGUUUGGCACCUCGAUGUCGGCUAUCGCAUCCUGGGGCGGUAGUACGUCCCAAGGGUUGGGCUGUUCGCCCAUGAAAGCGGUACGCGAGCUGGGUUCAGAACGUCGUGAGACAGUUCGGUCCAUAUCCGGUGUAGGCGUUAGAAUAUUGAGAGGAGCCUUCUUUAGUACGAGAGGACCGAGAAGGACAUACCUCUGGUGUACCAGUUAUCGUGCCAACGGUAAACGCUGGGUAGCUAUGUAUGGAGUGGAUAACCGCUGAAAGCAUCUAAGUGGGAAGCCCACCUCAAGAUCAGUAUUCUCAUC
RNAcentral lists this ribosomal RNA (1245 nucleotides) under metagenome. Its description in RNAcentral is "bacterial LSU rRNA". It matches the Rfam family "Bacterial large subunit ribosomal RNA", at positions 1564 to 2818 of the family's 2925-position model. The record is from RNAcentral.